CUCCUCUUAGGAUUGCACCUGGAGAGUUUCCAGUCUCAGCUAAGGGAGGGAGAAUCAAGCAGAGGCAUACCCAUUCCAUUCCUAGCUUGAGCAGUGGCUAGUGAGUGGAAGGCAAUCUGCUACAAGU
Molecule: small nucleolar RNA, 127 nt
Filed under: Ornithorhynchus anatinus (platypus)
Lineage: Eukaryota; Metazoa; Chordata; Mammalia; Monotremata; Ornithorhynchidae
Source: RNAcentral